Molecule: long non-coding RNA, 1229 nt
Filed under: Felis catus (domestic cat)
Lineage: Eukaryota; Metazoa; Chordata; Mammalia; Carnivora; Felidae
Description: lncRNA (ENSFCAG00000040194.2)
Source: RNAcentral
UGUUUAAACAACUUACCUACUUUUCUAAUAGCUUUUCUACCUUCCUCCUGCAGUAGAUGGGAACAUAAGGGCACCCAAAGGAAUUUGCCCACCUCUACAGAGGUUUCAGCAGAUGUCCUCCAACAAAGAACACAAAGGUAGAGCUGUACCACUUCCCAGAACCAUUGAGAACAUUUCCAAAACUGCAUCAUCCAUUAGAUUUGCUGAACCAAUUGGUAAUUUGAAAGAAGAUUCAAAAUCAGAAGUAAAAAGUGGCACUAGAGAAGCAAGGAAUAUGACCCCAAAACAGGAUAUUUAUUUGAUAAUUCAGGGAGUCCCUUUACAAAAUAGCCAGAGUGGUCCUAAAUGGCAGCAGAAGCGAGGAGUAAGUAGCCUUGAGAAGACCUAUGAAAAGAGACAAAAACAGAAAACUGGAGUGAAAGUUGAAGAGCUUCCUAAGAAAACUCAGAGUAAAGAAGAGAGAAGAGAAACAAAGGACAAAAGAAAAGAUACUAAGAAGGGCAUGAAUAAGGAAAAAGAAAUAGAUAAGGUCCAAUCAAUGGAAGGAGGUGGAGAUUCUAUGAAAAAAAAAAGGACAAAAAAAAAAGUGGGUAAAGAGGACAAGAAGAACAUAGACCCAAAAGAAGGUUAUGGAAAGAAAAUGGGCAGUAAAAAAAAAAGAUCACACUAAAGAAAAAAUAACACUAGAUUUCAUAAACUAAAAAAACAGAAUUGAAUAAUUUUGCUCUAACACAUAAACUUCAAAACUAGCUCCCAGUCUUCUAUGAUGUAGGUUAGAAUGAUACACUCCUUACAUUCUCUUUAGUCACAAAUUUUCUGCUCCUUUGCUUGUAAUCUGGAAGAAGAUCUUUCAGAGAUUGCUUCUAUUUACAUCUCUGUCUCAAACUUCAGUUUCCAAACACAAGUUUUCAAAAUGUAUGUUCAUUAUGAACCAUUGCUGGGAAAAUACAAUUAAGUAAAAAUUAAUUAAAACUCUGAUUAAAGCAAUGUAGAGUUAUUUUUCUCAAAGAAGUGUGGUAUUUCCCUGUCUAACCAAAUAGCUAUUUACUUGGCCCCUACUAAGUUCAAUAUCCAUAAAGGCAUGCAAAAAUAUCUUUAUCAAGUAGAUAAAUAAGAACAUUAAAAACAUUUAAAAUAUAUAAAUAUUUUUAAAAUGAUUCAGAGCAGUAAAUACAAUAAGAAAGAAUUCAGAAGAGGAAAAUCCCUUUGGAUAGGGAUAAUACAUGAAA